AGUCGAACGCGUUGGCCCAAUUGAUUGACGGUGCUUGCAUCUGAUUGAUUUUGGUCGCCAACGAGUGGCGGACGGGUGAGUAACACGUAGGUAACCUGCCCAGAAGCGGGGGACAACAUUUGGAAACAGAUGCUAAUACCGCAUAACAGCGUUGUUCGCAUGAACAACACUUAAAAGAUGGCUUCUCGCUAUCACUUCUGGAUGGACCUGCGGUGCAUUAGCUUGUUGGUGGGGUAACGGCCUACCAAGGCGAUGAUGCAUAGCCGAGUUGAGAGACUGAUCGGCCACAAUGGGACUGAGACACGGCCCAUACUCCUACGGGAGGCAGCAGUAGGGAAUCUUCCACAAUGGGCGCAAGCCUGAUGGAGCAACACCGCGUGAGUGAAGAAGGGUUUCGGCUCGUAAAGCUCUGUUGUUAAAGAAGAACACGUAUGAGAGUAACUGUUCAUACGUUGACGGUAUUUAACCAGAAAGUCACGGCUAACUACGUGCCAGCAGCCGCGGUAAUACGUAGGUGGCAAGCGUUAUCCGGAUUUAUUGGGCGUAAAGAGAGUGCAGGCGGUUUUCUAAGUCUGAUGUGAAAGCCUUCGGCUUAACCGGAGAAGUGCAUCGGAAACUGGAUAACUUGAGUGCAGAAGAGGGUAGUGGAACUCCAUGUGUAGCGGUGGAAUGCGUAGAUAUAUGGAAGAACACCAGUGGCGAAGGCGGCUACCUGGUCUGCAACUGACGCUGAGACUCGAAAGCAUGGGUAGCGAACAGGAUUAGAUACCCUGGUAGUCCAUGCCGUAAACGAUGAGUGCUAGGUGUUGGAGGGUUUCCGCCCUUCAGUGCCGGAGCUAACGCAUUAAGCACUCCGCCUGGGGAGUACGACCGCAAGGUUGAAACUCAAAGGAAUUGACGGGGGCCCGCACAAGCGGUGGAGCAUGUGGUUUAAUUCGAAGCUACGCGAAGAACCUUACCAGGUCUUGACAUCUUGCGCCAACCCUAGAGAUAGGGCGUUUCCUUCGGGAACGCAAUGACAGGUGGUGCAUGGUCGUCGUCAGCUCGUGUCGUGAGAUGUUGGGUUAAGUCCCGCAACGAGCGCAACCCUUGUUACUAGUUGCCAGCAUUAAGUUGGGCACUCUAGUGAGACUGCCGGUGACAAACCGGAGGAAGGUGGGGACGACGUCAGAUCAUCAUGCCCCUUAUGACCUGGGCUACACACGUGCUACAAUGGACGGUACAACGAGUCGCGAACUCGCGAGGGCAAGCAAAUCUCUUAAAACCGUUCUCAGUUCGGACUGCAGGCUGCAACUCGCCUGCACGAAGUCGGAAUCGCUAGUAAUCGCGGAUCAGCAUGCCGCGGUGAAUACGUUCCCGGGCCUUGUACACACCGCCCGU
Molecule: ribosomal RNA, 1380 nt
Filed under: Limosilactobacillus fermentum
Lineage: Bacteria; Bacillati; Bacillota; Bacilli; Lactobacillales; Lactobacillaceae
Description: bacterial SSU rRNA
Rfam family: Bacterial small subunit ribosomal RNA
Source: RNAcentral